UAAUGAUGAAAGGUGUGUGUAUGUCUGUUUGUAAAGAUGGGGUGAAAUCUAUGCAGCACGCAGUCCAUCAGUUAACCAAAUCGGAGCUUGGAAUCCAUCAGUUAAUAUUUUACAUUUAAAGAGCCUGCUGCCUUUAACACAGCAACAUACCGCAGAACAGAGCUGAGGCUCUUAAAGGAUCAACAGUAACCCCAUCCCCCACGAUUUUCCAGGCUGUUGGAUUCCAGCAUCUUUCCCUGCUCUCUCAUCUCAGCCUGCAUUCCUGUAACAGAAACCAGCUGGCAAAUCUUAAUCUGAGAAUUCCGCACAAUUGAAGCCAAGGGAAAGCCAAAGAACAAAACUCACAGGACAAAAGAGUUGAACAUGACCAGGUUUAAUACCACUGCAAAGCAUCUGGGAAAGAUUUGACAUUUUCACCCUGAGCAGUUGUUCUUUCAAGAAGAGAGAGCAGCCAGGAUUCGGUGCCAAGGAUAUUUGGCAGGAAAGAUUUGCCAGAAAAGGCACCAGUGGCAUUGCACUUUUCAGCAGCAAAUAAGUUUCCUUUUUCUGCCCUUUAAUGAUUGCCAUCAGUCUUGACAGAGUCAGGUAUUUUUCCACAUGAACAUGCAUGCUUUUUUGCUUUCUCUCCAUCUGAAGUCCAGGACUGGUACAUUUGAGAAACGGCAGAAGAGAAAAGUUAAAAGCAUCAAGAUUUCUGCAAGCAAGAUGAAAGACAGAGUAAUGUAAAAUGUACAAGGGCAGAAUAUGGAAUUGCAUGGCAGUAUUUGCAUUUCAAGUUGCAAGCUAAGUAUUGGGUUAUGUUGGAAGAAUUGUCAAUUUAGAACAGGGCUUCCUGAGGCCAGUCACCAGAGAGCAAACAAGAUGGUGAGCAAUGAGAAUUCAGAAAAUCCCACCCUCUCUCUUUCAUUGGUCAAUUCAAGGAGCGAAAAACACCUGCCCUUUUUACAUCUGUCUGUCACAGCAAACUUUUUGCUCUAAUUGGCCGAAUCUGUUGAGAAGAAAGCUUCAAAUGCAGAAACACAGGAAAUUUUUACAGCAACUCAAAUUCACCCCAUAUUAAAACAGCUCUUAUAGUCUUUUAAAAGCUGGUGGGGAGAUAUUCAGACUGGAAUUCUUCUGUCAUUUCCCCUCCAUUUUAGAAUUCAUUAAGAACAGGAGAUGGCAGUGUUUAGUUCAGAUCUCCCAGCAUUUUUUUAUCAAAAUGCUAACUCAUCAGUUUUCAUAAUUACAAUAGUGUAGAGAGGCAAGUAAAAUAAAGGCCAGCCAUACUCACACCAAGAUUCAUUGAAGGACUGUGAAGAAAACAAUUUGCUUCCUUUUGAGACCUAAAAAAUUAAUAUGAGGAGGAGAUGUAUUCUUUUAAUUAGCAUUUUUAAAUCACUAAGAAGGGCAAAUCAUGAUCACUUUAAACACUCAGAAAUCAGGCCCUAUUCAAAAUGGAAGAGCCUAGCUUUCCUUUUUCAUCUAAUUGUGCCUAAUGCUGAGGAAAAUAAUAUUUUAGGUCCAGCCUGAAGCCAAGCAAAGGAGCAGCUGAUUCAUAGCUCACACUUACCUCAUGCUGUCCCAGACAAUGUAUGAUAGCACUUAUACAUAUUUUAUGAAAGAUAACUGCCAUACUCUAUAAACAUACAAUAAAACAAAAUGUAUGUAAAUAUAUUCAAUGACUGGCCAUAAAUCAUAUACUGUAUUCUAAAAAUGUUAAAUGCAAAUAGAAAUGUUUUGGGUAUGUCUUUUAGCGCAAUUCAGAGCUGCCACUGCUAACAAGCAAAGAGAAGCAAGCACCACAGACAAGGAAUAAGGAAAAAAAUGAUGGCGCAGCUGGGGAAAUUUAUAUUCUGGAGUGAAGUAUCUCAGUUGUUAGUCACCCAUAUAGACCAGAGUUUCUCAACUUUGGCAACUGUAAGAUGUGUGAACUUCAACUCCCAGAAUUCCGCAGCAAGCAUGCUGUCUAGGAAAUUUAAGGACUUGAAGUUUACAUAUCUUCCAGCUACAAAGGAUAAGAAACACUGAUGUAGAGGACUAUUCCUUUCAAGAUGAAGGAUACAAUUGGCACUGUUCACAUCAUGUCCCACCCCCACCCAUCCCCAAACAGUUCUGUGCUUUAUUAUUGUUACACUCUAAUUUGCAAAUAUGAUUUCUGCACACUAUUUCCUGUUUGAAAUUUAUUUAAAACAAGUACCAUCACUCCAACAGGAAUAAAACCAGAGUUUACUUUUGCUUUCAAAUAUUUUUUUCUCAGAAAUAAAAAGUUUUGUUGCAGGAAGUGCAAUUAUUCUUUUAAAGGAAUAAUUGUUGGACAGAAUGAUGUAACAGCCUUGUAGUCUGUGCCAGAUUGGAGUUGGUUCAGGUGCAAAAGCUGGAGACUUGUUUCUCCUAGGAUCCAGAUCUGUUCUUCUGGGGAAGAUUGAGGGAUUUUACUGGACUUUGCUAUAACUAUGCCACUGGGCAGUCAUGCCCCAUUGUCAACUUUCCAGCCUCAAAACUCUUGAAUCCGUGCAAAUAAAAUACAACCUUCCAUUCCAAACUCACCCUAUCCCUCAGCAUCUCAAUAUCAGUGGAAGACAUUGUUGCUUUAAGAACAAUAUCACUCUGAUUAGCAUCUAUAUAUAGAUGGGGUGAGCUGAUAAAUUUCUCUUCCAACAGCAAAGGAUCUUGGUUCACUCUGAUAACCCUAGGCUCCAGGACUUUUUUUCUAUACAUAUGUGCUACAAAACACUAGGCAUAGAAGAGGGAAAAUAAAUAUAGCAACAGAAAAAGUUGCCCAAAAGAACUUAUCCUUAGGAGAUGAGCAAAAUAAUACAAAGAUAAAGGUAUCUUUGCUGGAAAGCAUGUAGGAACAGGUGGACAUAACACACGAGACAAAUCCAGCCUUAGAGAUUUACAUUUUGAAUCCCUAUUCCAGAUCCAUGUCUACCUAUUUUUGGAAGCAGAAUGUGUGGACACAAAGAGCAAGAUUUUUCCCCCUUUUGCAGCACCAAGACCACUCUGUGGAAUAGGGCUGCUAUUUAACAUGUUUAAGGUUCAUUUAAGGCUAUUUUAGAUGAAAGUUUUCUGUAAUACCAUAUGUAUUGCCUUCAGUAUUUUUAUAGAAAACCUAGAAAACCUAUUCUAAUUUGUAGUGAUAAUACUAGAAUUCUGAGCCAGGAUGAGGAAGCAUAGUAUGUUUGUUGAAUGCUUUGGGUUGGGGUACCCUACAUGCAGCGAAUAGCCUACAGGUUUAGUUAAUACAUACCUCAAAUAUUGUGCUUGGUGCAGUACAAUAACAGAAUCUGCAGAGAAAAGAUGCAAUUGCAAUACAUGAGCAAUAGAUGGCAGCAAAAUCAGACAACUAGCACUUCCUUAAGAAACAAGGCAGUGAAACUGCUGAGCAGGAUAUCUGAAUCCUUUCCAACCCUUUUACCAGCAGAGGCCAGAGAAGGCAUCUGUAUUUUCCUUUGGGAGAUGUUGGGGUGUGUGCAUUUUCUCCUCAUGAAACAACCAGGGUGUGGCAUACAGCCUGUCUCUGUGUAUACCAUGGUAUGUAGACACCAUUAAAGUGUGUACUGUGAGGUUGCUUCCAAGUGUAUGAAUUAUAGGAAGUAUAAUCAGGGUGUGUAAAUAUGAAUUUUGUCUGUAUUCUUCUGUUUUCACUAGUGCUGUAUCUAUGUGUGCAAGUAUGUGUAAAGGACAAACUGCAUUUGCUCGACUCUGUGUGCUCUAACAGAUGGGAAAGGGGCUUAGAAAUUAACAAGCUGCUCUCCAACUGCUUCUCCCAUAGAGAAGUAUUGAACUUUUUUUUUCCAAUUUUCUCUGUAGUCUCCAGUCAGAUCUGCUCUGUCUUUGAUCUUGAUUGUCCUUUUACCAGCUUUGCUUAAAUUUGGUGCUGUUCUCAUUUCACAGUUAUUACUGGGAUGAAGAGAAGUUAAACUCCUCCAACAUCAUUUCUUUCCAACUUCCCAUUGGGUUGGAAAUAAUUUUAAAGGUGCAAAGGAAAUAAAAUGACACUCUCAAAUCAGGCUCAAUAUUUAUUGAUUAUAUACAUGCAUCCUGCUGAGCAGUGUGGCCUUCCAGUCCCAAUGUAUUCUAGUUGCAGCCCUGGAAUUCCCCCACCUCAUCCCAAUGCUAAAAUAGUCCCUGCUCGCUUUCUUUCUCACCAGCUAAGGUCAACUAAGUACAAUCAAGCUGAGGCUGAACAAAUUAGGCCAGUAAUUAAUAGCUUGAUCAUACUCCAUGAUUGGUUGAUGAAUGGCACAACUGUCUAAAAUAGAUGAUGACAUUUGCUCUGAAAGUGUUCAGGUUUUUUAUUUCUUUUCCUCAAGGCUCUUUUCUGGAGAGAUUUAACUCAUUAAACCUGUUAGAAUUCUUUUUGGAAGCUUCUCUCUUAGCAAGAAACGCAGCCCUUUUAUUGUGUGUACCCAUGUGAACUUAGAGAAGCACAAAAAGUUGUCCAUAGAAAGAUUGCAUGCAUGUUAAACAUGCUUGUCUAUCACUCUUAGAUCAGAAAAUAUGAAUACAAAUUGGCUAAUAUUGAUAACAUGCUUGUCCUCUCACAUUUAUAAUACCACUCAAACCUGUCACUACUCAGCAGAAAGUUUAUAUUUGUUUUUAAAUAUUAGCCUCAUGACCAAUAGCUUUUGUUGAGGAAUAUAAUACUGAAGGGUUUAUUGGUUUUCAGAAGCUUCAUUGUGGCCUAAUAAUCAACAUUUAGUAAUUUAUGAGCAUACAAACAAAUGGUGUUCAUUGGUUUUGCUGGUACAUUUUACAUUAAGAUUAUAGCCUGACAAGCUAUAGGGCAGGAUGGCAGAUAUGACUAAGUUCAAAUUAUUAGUAAUAUUUAGUAUGUCCAAGUAUUAUGUUUAUGGAUAGGAAAAUUCUAUUUGUAUUAUUUUUACAUUAUUAUUUAAUAAAUAAUUUCUAUCCAUUUGAUUGAUUUUCUCAUAAUAAACUAAGUUUACACAAUAAAAAUACAAUUCCAAUUCAAAAACAGUUGUAUAGCCUUCCUAAAAGUCAGUAAGGAAGAUGUAGGCAGAGGCAUUCUAGACACAUAAUGUCAUAGAAAAAGCCAUGUCUUGUCAUGGGAAUAUAAUUCAGUGAUGUAAUGCCUGCCUUAUUUGAUUCAAUGUAUCCACAGCAAUGGCUCUGAUGUUAUCUGGCUAAUGUUAUUAUUUUCAUGCUUUCUUACAUCUGUCACAAAAAUGUAAAUCAUGGUAUUUGCACACAUCUCUCUCCUCCCCUCUCCCCCCCCUCUCUCUCACACACCCCAUGGAUACAUGUUUUCACUUUUAUCUUUUGUAAUACUAAUCCUUAUUUAUUUAAUAGCAGAAGAAGACGAGCAAGCAAGGAAGAAGUCAAGUCAAAUUUUCUAAUGUUAUUUUGAACAAUAUGAGCUCUCAGAUUUUUAUCCUUAAAAAAAGGUUGAUAUUUGUUUCAUCAACUAUUAAAAAAUUAAAAUAUUGUGCACCACCUAAAGUCUCACAAUGGAGGUAAUCAACCAAUAUUUUAAAUAAAUAAAUAAAAACUGUGCUGGACUAAAUUACAAA
Molecule: long non-coding RNA, 5519 nt
Organism: Pantherophis guttatus
Lineage: Eukaryota; Metazoa; Chordata; Lepidosauria; Squamata; Colubridae
Source: RefSeq, a predicted model, not a curated record